CCCAACACACCCAAGGACCUCAAACAUUAGUGUUCAUAAAAUCCUCUAGGGAAUCCUGAUGCCCAGAGGGCUCUUAUUUGACCCUACGGAGAUGAGAAGAGAAUCCUGGUGAUGCCUGAGGCUGAAUUUCCCACUGGACAGGUAGAGGCAGAAGAAGGUUUCACAUGUGAACAAAGAAGGUCGGGGGCCACGUCAACAAACAAAGGAUGCUGAGGCCGUCAAGCCAUCAAGCCAGCAGCCACCGCAGCCUGCCCUGACUGUGUACCCUGAGAGGAUUCAGAUUGGAGAAAAGCAGGAUACUGGCUCCAGAGAUCAGUCUCCAGGAAGUGAGAUUCCAAGAAGCUCAGAGGCAAGCCUGUUCCAGGACCAUACUUUCUGCCUCUGCACUGACAGAUGAUUCCCUGAAACAGCCACAAGAGUACAAGCUUGGUGGAGUGGAGUAGGGCAGAGCCUUGGCAAAUGUCUCAUAUACUCCAGGCGCUGUGCCAAAGGCUUCAUCUCAUCCAACCUUCCAGAGGCCCUGUGAGGCCUCAACAGUAUUGAAAUUAAGCCAGAUAACAGCCCUGCAAUGGCCUCUAAGUGUUCAAGUAAAAGGAAGAGUCACACAUCUUCAUUUUAAAUCAAAUGCUAGAAAUGAUUCAGCUCACUGAGAAAAGCAUAUCGACAGCCCAGACUGGCCAAAAGCUUCCCUGGUGGCUCAGAUGGUAAAGAGUCGGCCUGCAAUGCAGGAGACCCAGGUUCGAUCCCUGGGUCAGGAAGUUCCCCUGGAGAAGGAAAUGGCAAUCUACUCCAGUAU
This is a long non-coding RNA of Bos taurus (domestic cattle), 796 nucleotides long. NCBI's taxonomy places the organism in Eukaryota, Metazoa, Chordata, Mammalia, Artiodactyla, Bovidae. The record is from Ensembl.